CCGUCAAUUCAUUUGAGUUUUAGUCUUGCGACCGUACUUCCCAGGCGGAGUACUUAAUGCGUUAGCUGCGGCACUGCAGGGGUCAAUACCCGCAACACCUAGUACUCAUCGUUUACGGCGUGGACUACCAGGGUAUCUAAUCCUGUUUGCUCCCCACGCUUUCGCGUCUCAGCGUCAAUAUCGGUCCAGGUAGCCGCCUUCGCCACCGGUGUUCCUCCUAAUAUCUACGGAUUUCACUCCUACACUAGGAAUUCCACUACCCUCUCCCGUAUUCAAGUCUGACAGUUUCCAAUGCACUUCCCAGGUUGAGCCCGGGGCUUUCACAUCAGACUUACCAAACCGCCUACACGCGCUUUACGCCCAAUAAUUCCGAACAACGCUCGCACCCUCCGUAUUACCGCGGCUGCUGGCACGGAGUUAGCCGGUGCUUCCUUUGAGGGUACCGUCAAGCAAAGAUGAUAUUAGCACCCCUGCAUUUCUUCCCCUCUGACAGAGCUUUACGACCCGAAGGCCUUCAUCACUCACGCGGCGUUGCUGCGUCAGGGUUUCCCCCAUUGCGC
Molecule: ribosomal RNA, 560 nt
Filed under: uncultured bacterium
Lineage: Bacteria
Description: partial 16S ribosomal RNA
Source: RNAcentral